Molecule: ribosomal RNA, 433 nt
Filed under: uncultured bacterium
Lineage: Bacteria
Description: bacterial SSU rRNA
Rfam family: Bacterial small subunit ribosomal RNA
Source: RNAcentral
CGGUAUGCCUAACACAUGCAAGUCGUACGAGAGUUUUUAAUUCUAGUGGCGGACGGGUGAGUAACACGUGAGAAUUUACCUUUAGGAGGGGGAUAACAAUUGGAAACGAAUGCUAAUACCCCAUAUGCUUUUGAGCGAAAUGGAUUUAUAAUUAUCCGCCUAAAGAAAAGCUCGCGGCUGAUUAGCUUGUGGUAAGGUAAGAGCUUACCAAGGCGACGAUCAGUAUCNGGUUUGAGAGGACGAUCAGACACACUGGAACUGAGACACGGUCCAGACUCCUACGGGAGGCAGCAGUGGGGAAUUUUCCGCAAUGGGCGAAAGCCUGACGGAGCAAUACCGCGUGAGGGAAGAAUGCCUAUGGGUUGUAAACCUCUUUUUUCAGGGAGGAAUAAAAUGACGUGUACCUGAAGAAUAAGCAUCGGCUAACUCCGUG